Molecule: ribosomal RNA, 450 nt
Filed under: uncultured bacterium
Lineage: Bacteria
Description: partial 16S ribosomal RNA
Rfam family: Bacterial small subunit ribosomal RNA
Source: RNAcentral
GUGAGGAAUUUUCCGCAAUGGACGAAAGUCUGAUGGAGCAACGCCGCGUGAACGAUGAAGGCUUUCGGGUCGUAAAGUUCUGUUGUAAGGGAAGAACAAGUGCCGCAGGCAAUGGCGGCACCUUGACGGUACCUUGCGAGAAAGCCACGGCUAACUACGUGCCAGCAGCCGCGGUAAUACGUAGGUGGCAAGCGUUGUCCGGAAUUAUUGGGCGUAAAGCGCGCGCAGGCGGCCUCUUAAGUCUGAUGUGAAAGCCCCCGGCUCAACCGGGGAGGGCCAUUGGAAACUGGGAGGCUUGAGUAUAGGAGAGAAGAGUGGAAUUCCACGUGUAGCGGUGAAAUGCGUAGAGAUGUGGAGGAACACCAGUGGCGAAGGCGACUCUUUGGCCUAUAACUGACGCUGAGGCGCGAAAGCGUGGGGAGCAAACAGGAUUAGAUACCCGAGUAGUCC